Cavia porcellus (domestic guinea pig) is the source of this 2959-nucleotide RNA transcript. It is a transcript of the gene named DnaJ heat shock protein family (Hsp40) member B2, with no coding region annotated. The record is from RefSeq and is a predicted model, not a curated record. The transcript has 9 exons. NCBI's taxonomy places the organism in Eukaryota, Metazoa, Chordata, Mammalia, Rodentia, Caviidae.
GACCGUUCCCGUCGGGGGGCAGGGGCGGGACUCCCGGCGGAGGCGGUGCGGCCGGGCCCGAGUCAGGCUGGGGGCUCCGGGUCGGGCUGCUGGAGUCAGGGGGUUCCGGUCGGGCUCCCCGGGCGUGUGCGCCGAGAUAGCCCGGGGCCCCGGCCUGCUGGGAGAGAUAAGGCUGCGCAGGAAGUCCAAUCACCUGCUACGAGCACGGCCCGGCGCGGCUCCCGCCGGGAGCGCCUCCCUUCCUCUAGGGGUCUCCAGCCGCUAGGAGGGGCUGCUGGUUCCCGGGGCCUGACCGCUUCUGCCCUGCAGCCCCUAGGAGGCCCGCCCGCCGCCCGCCAUGGCAUCCUACUACGAGAUUCUGGACGUGCCGCCCAGCGCGUCUGCCGAUGACAUCAAGAAGGCGUACCGAAAAAAGGCUCUACAGUGGCACCCAGACAAGAACCCCGAUAACAAAGAGUUUGCUGAGAAGAAGUUUAAGGAGGUGGCAGAGGCCUAUGAAGUGCUGUCUGACAAGCAUAAGCGGGAGAUCUAUGACCGAUACGGCCGGGAAGGGCUGACUGGGGCAGGAGCCGGCCCCUCUCGGGCAGAAGCUGGUGGUGGUGGGCCUGGCUUCACCUUCAGCUUCCGCAGCCCUGAGGAAGUCUUCCGGGAAUUCUUUGGGAGCGGAGACCCUUUUGCGGAGCUCUUUGAUGACCUGGGCCCCUUCUCAGAGCUUCAGAACCGGGGUUCCCGACACUCUGGCCCCUUCUUUACCUUCUCCUCCUCCUUUCCUGGGCACGCUGAUUUCUCCUCCUCAUCUUUCUCCUUCAGUCCCGGAGCUGGUGCCUUCCGCUCUGUUUCAACGUCCACCUCUUAUGUCCAGGGACAUCGCAUCACCACACGCAGAAUCAUGGAGAACGGGCAGGAGCGGGUGGAAGUGGAGGAGGACGGGCAGCUGAAGUCAGUUUCAAUCAAUGGUGUCCCAGAUGACCUGGCACUGGGCUUGGAGCUGAGCCGCCGAGAGCAGCAACAGUCAGUCACCUCCAGGUCGGGGGGCAUGCAGAUGCGGCAGACCUCUGCUCCGCGCCCCACCGACAGCGACCUCUCUGAGGUGGAUGAGGACCUGCAGCUUGCCAUGGCCUACAGCCUAUCAGAGAUGGAAGCAGCUGGGCAAAAGCCGGCAGGUGGGCGGGGGGUACAACAGCAACAGCAGGGACGGCCCACAGCCCAUCACCAAGGUCCUGGGGGAACCCACGAAGGGUCCCGGGGUGAGGCGGUGAAACCCAGCCCGUCCCCAGAGGAGAAAGUCUCUCGGUGCCUCAUCCUCUGAACGCCAGGCCGGCCCGACCUGAUUCAGGUCUUGACUCAGAGCUGAGCAGGCUGAGUUGCAGGAGCCUGAACUCCAAGUCCCUCUACGAGUUCCCCUUCCAUGCCUGCCACAUUCCAGUGUGGACUUUGGAUUUUCUGUGCUCAGCCAGAGCUGAUAGGUCCCUGGGUGCAGCUGAUAGGUCCCUGAGGGGGGUGGGGUGUCUGGGUCACGGAGGGGUGUGUGGAAGCUGGAGGCACUUUGCAGAGUGGGAGUUCCAGCCCUGACCCGCCUGAGGGGCAUGAGUGAUUUGGGUUGAGACUUCUGUGCUCAGGUUCUCUGCCACCUGAAUUACCAAGGGUGUCAAGGAAGGAGGACUUGGCCUGGGGUGUGAUGCUCUGAGCCCGAGUUGGCAGCUCCUCUGGGGAGCAGUGCAGGUUGAGUGGAGUCUUCACUCUCCUUGUCCAGCUGCAGACCCUGGAUUCUGUGCAGUGCUGAGCUCUGACUGUCUCUGUGCUUCCCUUCUGGUGCUGCUCUCCUUCCUCCCACUCUGCUUUCUGCAGCUCUCUGCAGGCUGCAUCGCUUGCUUUCACUGCCACCUGGCUAGGACUCCUUUCUCCUUCUCUCCCCGAGAAGCCUCAAUGCUCCCAGGAAGACGCUGGGGCCGGUGGGGCCAUGAGGUCUUCAGGGGAGGCUAGCUGGGUGGGGCGGGAGCCUCUCAGCCAUCCAGAUUCGGAGCCGGAUCUACUCUUCCUCCCUUCCUCUUGCUGCCUCAGCCUGCCCCAGCUGCAGGACUAGGCAGAGAUGUGUUCUGAGCUGGAUGUCCAGGAUGCAGAGUCGAUUCACAGUUCCAACAGGACAGCACCCUCACCCAUGUGAUAGGAGGGGAUACUCCAUUCCUCCCUCACCCAUGCUGAGUGUAGAGCUGGGGUCUGGGCAGUGGGUGGGGGGCAUCAGUAGUCUUAGCUGGUGUACUCUUCCCUGGGUGUUUGCUGCUGUCUCAUGAGGACUACAAGUCCCAUAAUGCAAUACACCCAGCUGAAUUUCUGAUAGGACACACCCAGGAGAAUUGGUGCCUGGUUAUGGAGCUGUGCUUCUUGGGAUAUGUAGUUCCAGCCCUGACCAGCCUGUCACUUGCUCUGGAUGGAGAGUUGUUGUCUUUUGAUUUGUCCCUGGCACAGCAGCAAGGAUGUGGAUGAAGGGGGAAUGAUCCGAGCCUGGGUUCCCCUGACACUUCUUGCUAGCUCCAGGGUUGGACUGGGCAGGCCAAGACCUUGCAACAUCUGGGAGUUCUUUUCUUGUGGGCCAGCAGACAGAGUAGGCAGGGUGUGGCCCUGGAAGGCUGACGGACGUGGGCUGGCACAGCUUGGAAGGGAAAGCCACCCCUCACAGAGGCAUGUGGCUGGCACUGGCGUGUGCUGGAAACAAAGGGCAUGCUGCUGCUUGAAUGGCUUUCUUUGGUCUCUGACCCUGCUGUCCAUUCUCUCUCAUCAACAUCACAGGCAGCUGCCUCUCCUCUUCCCUACCUGGGGAGCCCAGGGUCUGGGAGGGGGUCUGGUGCAGUAGGGUGUUACCCAUCCCUGGAACACAGAGCCCCAGAGACCUAGCAAAGCCAACCAGGCUUGGCUCAGACCAAGGGAGAAACUGGUAUUCAAUAAAGCUUGAGUUGCAAGA